This 39-nucleotide ribosomal RNA is filed under the name Comparettia macroplectron. Its description in RNAcentral is "partial 26S ribosomal RNA". RNAcentral also lists the same sequence under 20 other names. The record is from RNAcentral. Lineage: Eukaryota; Viridiplantae; Streptophyta; Magnoliopsida; Asparagales; Orchidaceae.
GCGACCCCAGGAUGGGUGAGGCCACCCGCCGAGUUUAAG